This 206-nucleotide ribosomal RNA is filed under the name uncultured bacterium. RNAcentral describes it as "partial small subunit ribosomal RNA". It matches the Rfam family "Bacterial small subunit ribosomal RNA", at positions 26 to 219 of the family's 1533-position model. The record is from RNAcentral.
AGAACGAACGCUGGCGGCGGGGUUUAGGCAUGCAAGUCGAGCGAGAAAGCCGCAAGGCAAGUACAGCGGCGUAAGGGUGAGUAAUGGUUAGUCAACGUACCGGGCAGACGCGAAUAAUUUCUCGAAAGGGAAGGUAAUGCGCGAUGAGACCACGGCUUCUACGGGAGCUGCGGUCAAAGGUCGGGGAUCCUUCGGGACCUGGCGCU